RNAcentral lists this transfer RNA (73 nucleotides) under Ailuropoda melanoleuca (giant panda). It matches the Rfam family "tRNA". From Rfam's summary of the family: Transfer RNA (tRNA) molecules are approximately 80 nucleotides in length. Their secondary structure includes four short double-helical elements and three loops (D, anti-codon, and T loops). Lineage: Eukaryota; Metazoa; Chordata; Mammalia; Carnivora; Ursidae. The record is from Rfam by way of RNAcentral.
GCCUGGCUGGCUCAGUAGACAGAGCAUGCAACUCUUGAUUUCUGGGUUGUAGGUUCAAGCCCCAUGUUGGGUG